GGAUUAGAUACCCUGGUAGUCCACGCCGUAAACGAUGAGUGCUAGAUGUGGCGGGUAUUGACCCCUGCCUUGUCGUAGUUAACGCGUUAAGCACUCCGCCUGGGGAGUACGGCCGCAAGGCUAAAACUCAAAGGAAUUGACGGGGGCCCGCACAAGCGGUGGAGCAUGUGGUUCAAUUCGACGCAACGCGCAGAACCUUACCUGGGUUAAAUCCAUCGGAAUCCUGCAGAGACGUGGGAGUGCCCUUCGGGGAAUCGAUGAGAAGGUGCUGCAUGGCUGUCGUCAGCUCGUGCCG
RNAcentral lists this ribosomal RNA (295 nucleotides) under uncultured bacterium. Its description in RNAcentral is "partial 16S ribosomal RNA". It matches the Rfam family "Bacterial small subunit ribosomal RNA", at positions 775 to 1067 of the family's 1533-position model. The record is from RNAcentral.